UUUUGAGUCGUGCAUUCCAUUUUCGAGCCUUCUUUCUGGCGAGCCAUCUAUUUGUGUCAAGCUUUUCAGAGUACUUUCGCUUCUUCCCCUGCGUUCCUGACUUUUUGUAACGCAGGGUCUAGGGCUAAGAAUUUCUUUGAAUUUCAAUAAUGCCAAAAAUAAUGCGACAUUAUCAUUGUGCCUCCGCAAUCUGUAUCUUGCACUUCAUUUCCAUCACCAAACAAUGAACAGUUAACUUGUAGAUCUUUGACAUGAAUGUGAUUAUGUCGAUGCCAAGAUUUAAAUGCAGUGUUCUCACCUUAGAACCUGCAGAGGUUGGGUUGUUGAGACCUCUCGUUUCUUCACUCAUGGCAUUAGGUUUUCGCUUUCAACGUCCCUACCCCUAUUCUUUUUCAACAGUAGCAACAAUGUCUGAUUUGCAUAAUGUCAAUAUAACUGGAGGAUCGAGCACAUCCAAUUCAUUGAUCGAGAAGUUUGCUGUGUACUGCUACCAGAGGGAUCUCCCAAGAGCCAUGAAUGCCCUUUAUGCCAUGGAAAAACACAAGAUAUCGGCUGAUGCUAUUACCUACUCUGAGCUUAUAAAGUGCUGUGUUACUCGGCGUGCUGUUGAACAUGGCAAACGUGUCCACCAACACAUUUUUUCCAAUGGGUACCAGCCAAAGACCUUCUUACUCAACAUACUUCUUAACAUGUAUGUGAAGUUCAACAUGUUGGACGAAGCACACACUUUGUUCAACCAAAUGCCUGAGAGAAAUGUUGUCUCCUGGACUACCAUUGUAGGUGCUUACUCUAGUUCUAAGCUCAAUUACAAGGCUUUCAAGCUAUUAACUCUCAUGCUAAGGGAUGGAGUCCAACCCAAUAUGUAUACUUACUCCUCUGUUCUCAGAUCAUGUGAUGCCCUUUCCAAUCUCACACCUCUUCAUUGUAGCAUCAUUAAGGUGGGAUUGGAGUCUGAUGUCUUUGUCCGCAGCGCACUGAUUGAUGUCUACUCCAAAAUUGGUCAACUGAAGAGUGCUCUUGAUGUCUUCAAUGAGAUGAAAACACAUGAUCGGGUGGUUUGGAACUCUAUAAUUGGUGGCUUUGCUCAAAACAGUGAUGGCUAUGAAGCAUUGACUCUCUACAUAAAAAUGAAGCGAGCUGGUUUUCCGGCUGACCAGUCAACCCUAACUAGUGGUCUAAGAGCAUGUACCAGUUUGUCACUUUUAGAAGUGGGCAGGCAACUCCAUGUUCAGAUUCUCAAAUUUGAUCAAGACCUAAUACUUCACAAUGCACUUCUUGACAUGUACUGCAAGUGUGGCAGUGUGGAUGAUGCUAACCGUACAUUUACUCGAAUGGUGGAGAAGGAUGUCAUCUCAUGGAGCACCAUGAUUAUGGGCUUGGCUCAGAAUGGUUUCAGCAAAAAAGCGCUAGAGCUGUUUGAGGAAAUGAAGAGCUCGGGGAUGAAGCCUAACUACAUCACUGUCCUUGGAGUUCUAUUUGCUUGCAGUCAUGCAGGACUGGUAGAAGAUGGGCAGUAUUACUUCCGAUCAAUGAAGACACUUUUUGGAAUUGAUCCAAGAAGAGAGCAUUAUGGUUGCAUGGUUGAUCUUCUUGGGAGAGCAGGCAAGCUAGAUGAAGCAGUGAAAUUAAUUCAUGAAAUGGAAUGUGAACCGGAUGCUGUGACAUGGAGGACAUUGCUCGGUGCUUGCAGAUUACAUCGGAACAUGGAUCUGGCUGAGUAUGCUGUGAAACAAAUUCUUAAGCUAGACCCAAGUGAUGCUGGAACCUACAUACUGCUCUCCAAUAUUUAUGCACGAACUCAGAAAUGGGAAGAGGCUUCCAAUGUGAGAAGGGCCAUGAGCAACAAAGGAGUCAAGAAAGAACCAGGUUGUAGCUGGAUUGAAGUAAAUAAGCAGAUUCAUACCUUCAUUUUGGGAGACAAGUCCCACCCACAGAUAAACGAGAUUGGCAAAGAGCUCAAACAGAUUAUUACAAGAUUGAAAGAAGUAGGCUAUGUUCCUGAUACCAACUUUGUCUUGCAAGACCUUGAAGGUGAACAGAUGGAAGACUCACUUCUGUACCACAGUGAAAAGCUUGCAAUUGCUUUUGGCAUAAUGAGCUUGCCAAGAGAAAAGACCAUUAGAAUCAGAAAGAAUCUCAGAAUAUGUGGAGACUGUCAUUUAUUUGCAAAACUCUUGACGAAGGUAGAGCAUCGAACCAUUGUCAUCAGAGAUCCAAUCCGCUACCAUCAUUUCCAAGAAGGUAUUUGUUCUUGCAGUGACUACUGGUAGCAGGGAGGUUACUGGCAAACCUUUGCAAAAAUUGAAAUUAAAAAAAUGGUAAUACACUGGUAUUUAUGCAAGCCUGUGUCAUAUAUUGUGGGCAAGAGGCAUAUGUCAGACUGCACCUUGACAUGGCAAGAACAUCACAACUUUCUUUCUACUGCUCUGAAUUAAACCUGUCAUGGGUUUAUAAAUUAUGUGUAAGUAUGGAUUGGAGGAUGCAAACUCCUAUACUCUAAGAUUAGGCCUUAUAGAUGGAGCUUCAGUAGCAGCUUGGUCAGAAGGAAGUUACUAGCAUUAUGUUCAUGCAUAAGUCUUAUUACCAAGGUUCUGAUGGGUAAUUUUAUCAGCCAAAUUAUAAAUUGUGUGGCCUUGACAGUCAACUACAGAUUGGUUGAUAUUGAAACCAUUUAGGAUAGAGGAACCUGCGAUCUCCUUACAGUUUUGCUAUGGAACAUCAUCACCUGUGUCUUCAUUAAAGAUAUAAUCAGUGACAACAGUCUUACCAGCUUGCUCAGGACAUUACAUUGAUGUAUUUGUGUUCUUUCAUGUCCACUUGCUUUCUCUGAAUGCCUUGAGGAAGCAUAAAGAUUUGAUUUGAUUAUACUUUCCAGAACUGAAGAAUGUCUUAGCAGAGUUGUUGCUGGAAGAAAGAAGAAACAGUUGGAAGCUGAGUAAGAAGUUGAAGACUUGAAAUGACCAUAAUAUUGCAUGCUGAGGGGACCUAUGAGAAUCGGAUAGCAAAAUUGAAGGCUCUGAUUUGAAGUCUUUAUGGAAACAGAAAAUAUUAAUGUACUAUUGUCAUUUGAUGGAAAAUAGAGGAAAUGAAUGCUUUUCUGAGUCUAAUAUAGCUGGAGGAUAUGGGAGGCUGAAUACAUCUAAAAUGGAAGUGUGGACGCCCCAUAUUAUCUGAGAAAAGCUGCAGACCUCAUGGCUUUUUUUUUUUUUUUUUUGAAAUACAGAAAGGUUUUUGCAGAUGGACUUCAGGCUUAUAUUCUUGCACAAAUAAGCCUAUUAACAUUGUUUCACUCAAUUUUGCAACUCAUGCUGCAUUUUGCUUGUGUCUCAUGUGACAUUAUUGCAGGAAGUAUGAAAGAUCUGCAAAUAGCAGCCUACAUUUUUGUAUAUGAACACUGACCAAAA
Ipomoea triloba (trilobed morning glory) is the source of this 3404-nucleotide RNA transcript. It is a transcript of the gene named pentatricopeptide repeat-containing protein At2g03880, mitochondrial, with no coding region annotated. Lineage: Eukaryota; Viridiplantae; Streptophyta; Magnoliopsida; Solanales; Convolvulaceae. The record is from RefSeq and is a predicted model, not a curated record. The transcript has 3 exons.